CUACGUAGGGGGCGAGCGUUGUCCGGAAUUACUGGGCGUAAAGGGUGCGUAGGUGGCACUUUAAGUUGGAUGUGAAAUCCCCGUGCUUAACAUGGGAGCUGCAUCCAAUACUGGAGAGCUAGAGUGCAGGAGAGGUAAGCGGAAUUCCUAGUGUAGCGGUGAAAUGCGUAGAUAUUAGGAGGAACACCAGUGGCGAAGGCGGCUUACUGGACUGUAACUGACACUGAGGCACGAAAGCGUGGGGAGCAAACAGGAUUAGAUACCCUGGUAGUCCACGCUGUAAACGAUGAAUACUAGGUGUAGGGGGUAUCAACUCCCUCUGUGCCGCAGCAAACGCAAUAAGUAUUCCGCCUGGGGAGUACGGCCGCAAGGUUGAAACUCAAAUGAAUUGACGGGG
This 397-nucleotide ribosomal RNA is filed under the name uncultured bacterium. RNAcentral's name for it is "partial 16S ribosomal RNA". It matches the Rfam family "Bacterial small subunit ribosomal RNA", at positions 523 to 918 of the family's 1533-position model. The record is from RNAcentral.